This 253-nucleotide ribosomal RNA is filed under the name uncultured bacterium. RNAcentral describes it as "partial 16S ribosomal RNA". It matches the Rfam family "Bacterial small subunit ribosomal RNA", at positions 524 to 776 of the family's 1533-position model. The record is from RNAcentral.
UACGUAGGGGGCGAGCGUUGUCCGGAUUUAUUGGGCGUAAAGAGCGUGUAGGCGGUUCGGUAAGUCUGUCGUGAAAUCCUGAGGCUCAACCUCGGACGUGCGAUGGAUACUGCCGGGCUAGAGGAUGGUAGAGGCGAGUGGAAUUCCCGGUGUAGCGGUGAAAUGCGCAGAUAUCGGGAGGAACACCCGUGGCGAAGGCGGCUCUCUGGGACGGUACUGACGCUGAGACGCGAAAGCGUGGGGAGCGAACAGG